GUACUUUGGUUUCUCUUCAGAUUGUAUGCAUCUUUUGUCUUUUACUAAAGAAUUCCGUGGUGAGGAACAUUUAUGAAUUUGUAACUAUUUUUUUUUCAGGUCCUG
Molecule: small nuclear RNA, 105 nt
Filed under: Salvator merianae (Argentine black and white tegu)
Lineage: Eukaryota; Metazoa; Chordata; Lepidosauria; Squamata; Teiidae
Description: U5 spliceosomal RNA (ENSSMRG00000021198.1)
Rfam family: U5 spliceosomal RNA
About the family: U5 RNA is a component of both types of known spliceosome. The precise function of this molecule is unknown, though it is known that the 5' loop is required for splice site selection and p220 binding, and that both the 3' stem-loop and the Sm site are important for Sm protein binding and cap methylation.
Source: Rfam by way of RNAcentral